UGACGGUAUCAUAUGAAUAAGCACCGGCUAACUCCGUGCCAGCAGCCGCGGUAAUACGGGGGGUGCAAGCGUUACUCGGAAUCACUGGGCGUAAAGAGCAUGUAGGCGGGUGAAUAAGUUGGAAGUGAAAUCCUAUAGCUUAACUAUAGAACUGCUUCCAAAACUGUUCACCUAGAGUAUGGGAGAGGUAGAUGGAAUUUCUGGUGUAGGGGUAAAAUCCGUAGAGAUCAGAAGGAAUACCGAUUGCGAAGGCGAUCUACUGGAACAUUACUGACGCUCAGAUGCGAAAGCGUGGGGAGCAAACAGGAUUAGAUACCCUGGUAGUCCACGCCCUAAACGAUGUACACUAGUUGUUGCUAUACUAGAUAUGGCAGUAAUGCAGUUAACACUUUAAGUGUACCGCCUGGGGAGUACGGUCGCAAGAUUAAAACUCAAAGGAAUAGACGGGGACCCGCACAAGCGGUGGAGCAUGUGGUUUAAUUCGACGAUACGCGAAAAACCUUACCUGGCCUUGACAUAGUAGGAACUUUCUAGAGAUAGAUUGGUGCUAGCUUGCUAGAACCUAUAUACAGGUGCUGCACGGCUGUCGUCAGC
This 594-nucleotide ribosomal RNA is filed under the name uncultured bacterium. Its description in RNAcentral is "bacterial SSU rRNA". It matches the Rfam family "Bacterial small subunit ribosomal RNA", at positions 470 to 1059 of the family's 1533-position model. The record is from RNAcentral.